GCAGGAGUGGUGCCUGAGCCUGCCCACAGACUGCAAGGGAGUUGUAAGAGUGUGGCAUGGAGAUGGCAGGGGCUGGGUACCUGAGUGCCUCUUUGCCUGUGCUGAGUUAAUUAUUUCAAACUGGAUCAAUAGAGGAGGCCCUGGCCUUUGUACCACAGCUAGUGCUGCCCCUCACCCUCAGGAAGGUGUUCCUGGGACAAGCUGGCUUAUCUGGAGAACCCAGGUGGGUUGGCAACCUGAAAAUCAUUUUCCCUUAAACCUGCAGUCAGAACCAGGUAGCCAAGCACAAGUGCACGGUUCUGCUGUACCUUGCAGGCCAGCAAGAGGUGCUGCCCACACAGUGAGCUGCCCAAAAGAUACUCUGAAAAGAAAAUGCAUCUGGAACCAGAAGCAAACACUUUCUCUGAACAGCAUCCCUCCAAGAAUAUUCAGGAAAACAGAGGCUGUCGAAGCUGUGGGCCAAAUGACCACUCAGUUGGUUCUGACCCGUUGGGUUUGCUUCCACCUGAAAAGAAUUUGGUUGUCAAAAGGAAAUAUUACUCAGGAAGAUCCAAGUGGACAAGCAAGUCUGGACAACUUUUUUUUUUUCCCCCCUCCUCCUAAGGGGUAUUUCAACCUUUAAGCAUUUGUCUAUGACCUAAAGUAGGAUUUGAAAAUGUUGAAAACUGUUGAAAUAACAUAACUUCAUUGCAAUUUCUCCCACUGUGGACUUGAAAUAAUUAUUGUGAAAAUAUAAUUUGCAUUUUUGUUGAAGUUGUUUUCCAUUAGGAAACCCUCUGAUGGAUAGUUUCCAGCUGGUUCUUGAGGUUAGAUUUGUAUGCCCUGCUUUCUUUCAUCUCUUCUCUUUUUGGCCUUUGCUCUCUUCCUUG
This is a long non-coding RNA of Poecile atricapillus (Black-capped chickadee), 869 nucleotides long. RefSeq lists it as uncharacterized. NCBI's taxonomy places the organism in Eukaryota, Metazoa, Chordata, Aves, Passeriformes, Paridae. The record is from RefSeq and is a predicted model, not a curated record. The transcript is spliced from 3 exons.